Molecule: long non-coding RNA, 873 nt
Filed under: Equus caballus (horse)
Lineage: Eukaryota; Metazoa; Chordata; Mammalia; Perissodactyla; Equidae
Description: lncRNA (ENSECAG00000057454.1)
Source: RNAcentral
AUACUGUAUGAUCCCUUCCUUCAAAAAGCCUGUGUCACCAAGAUGGCAGAGUAGGAGACCCCAGCUCCAUCCCUCCACUAAGAUCAACAGACAGCUAUCCUUGAACAAAAACAGCUCUGGGAGAGCUCUGGAGUCCACUUAGGAAACGUCACAGUAGAACAAGGAACCUGAGAAUAACCACAUACAAAGGGAAGGAAGCACAGCUUCAUUUUGCCAGCAUUAUCCCGUCCCCCAGGCUGGCACUGCUCAGCACCAAGAGGGAACUCCUCCACCAGAAAGAGUCCCCCUUGUGAGAGACGGAGAGCAGGGUGAGUGACCAGCUUCCCCAGUCUUUCAGGGCACUGCACAAAGGACCCAUUUUGAUUUCACCCCACCCAGAGACCAGUAAAGCUGAGACAUAUAGAGAUGGCUGGGAACAAAGAAGAACAGAGGCUCCCAAUAUUAGCCACCCAGUGGAAGUGACCACGGUUCCUAUUGACCUGCUCGGCAGAGGACCCCAACAGUUUUUGCCACUGAAGAAACCAACAGACCACCUGCAGAUUUCACUAGUUUUAAUCCCACAGAUUCCCACAGUGCUUGCCAAGGACCAUGCUGUUGUCAGUGUUGUGGACCCUGGUGCUGAUGAGAUGUCAUGCCCCUCUGGACCUGGAGAUGCCACAUGCUUUCCCCUCCCCUUGGUGCCCUGCACCACUAGACCUUGGGUCACAGCACAUUCCAGGUGUCCCCCACCCACAAAUGAAGGUCUUUCUUUACUACAGUCAGUCCAUGAAGUAUGGAAAAAGUGAAUACUUGUUUGGAUGUGAAGACACCUGCACAAGGUUACAGGAUCGUGAAGAAUCACUACCAAAAGGAAUACAGUAAAACUCCAGUAAC